RNAcentral lists this ribosomal RNA (284 nucleotides) under uncultured bacterium. RNAcentral describes it as "partial 16S ribosomal RNA". It matches the Rfam family "Bacterial small subunit ribosomal RNA", at positions 773 to 1060 of the family's 1533-position model. The record is from RNAcentral.
GUGGAUUAGAUACCCUGGUAGUCCACGCCGUAAACGAUGAUCACUCGCUGUUUGCGAUACACAGCAAGCGGCUGAGCGAAAGCAUUAAGUGAUCCACCUGGGGAGUACGAUCGCAAGGUUGAAACUCAAAGGAAUUGACGGGGGCCCGCACAAGCGGAGGAACAUGUGGUUUAAUUCGAUGAUACGCGAGGAACCUUACCUGGGCUUAAAUGUAGAUUGCAUGAGGUGGAAACACUUCUUCCCUUCGGGGCUAUUUACAAGGUUCUGCAUGGCCGUCGUCAACU